Molecule: long non-coding RNA, 2040 nt
Filed under: Solanum tuberosum (potato)
Lineage: Eukaryota; Viridiplantae; Streptophyta; Magnoliopsida; Solanales; Solanaceae
Description: long non-coding RNA (STUB_LNC009325)
Source: RNAcentral
UUGUUGUUGUGUAUACGUUAUUACAUUGAGACCCUAUUUAUAGACACUAGAAUACAAUCCUUUACCAAGUAGGAUACUAUUUACUAUUCAUAUUCCUAUUCUAAAUAGGAUUGUAUAAACCUAUUCCUAUUCUAAUAAGAUUGUGUAAACCAAUUCCUAUUCUAAUAGGAUUGUAUAAACCUAUUCAUAUUCUAACACUCCCCCUCAAGCUAGUGCAUACGAUUCAUGUACCUAGCUUGUUACAUAUGUAAUUAAUAUGAGGACCAAUGAGGGGCUUGGUGAGAUACAUGCAAGUUGAUCAGUCGACUUCACAAAAUUGACAAUCAAUCUCAAUGUGCUUGUCUUCUCAUUAAAUACUGGAUUUGAUGCAUAAUGCCGAUAAAACACAGAGUGAUUUACAGUGUUGAACUUCCCAAACCAACUUGCAAAGACUAUUUCAGACCAUAGAGUGACUCACAUAAUCGACAUACAAGACUACUAAACUCCCCUUGAGCAACAAAGAGCUCAAAAUCUAGUAUAAAGUAUGUGGAUCAUGUUGGAAUCAAUAGAUAAGUCGAUAUUAAACAAGAAAGUCACCGAAAAAUUGGUCGGCACAUGCUCAUACGCGGGAGAGUUAGAUUUGAUGGUUGAAAGUGGUCACAAUCUAAGAAAUAAAAUUAUAUGGGUAGGGUCGGAAUGAUGUCACGACCCAACUAGAAAAUAGAAAUUAUAUAGGAUAGUUCGAAUUGAUGGAACGACCCCAUUGAAAAAGAGAAAUAAUAAUGGGUAGGGUCGGAAUGAUGGCACGACCCUACUGAAAAAGAAAAUUAUACGGGUAGGUUGGAAUGAUGGCUCAACCCUACGCAAAUCAGAUUUGAGGAGUCACCGGAAAGACGAAUGGAACUAUGCAAAUCAAAUCUGAGGAGUCACUGAAAAGCACAUGAUGCUAUGCAACUCAGAUAUGAGAAAAUAGUUCGGAAAAAUCCACGGUACUACACAAUUAUAUAUAAAAAGUAGUCCGGAGAGAUGCACGGUGCUACGCAAAUCAGAUAUGCAAAAAAGAUAGUCAUCGGAAGAAUGGCACGGUGCUACACUAAUUAUAUAUAAAAUUGUAGUCACUGGAAUGAUGGCACAGUGCUACACAAACUAGAUAUGAAAAGUAGUCACCAGAAAGAUCGCACUGUGCUAUACAAAUUAAAUAUGAAAAAGUAGUCACCGAAAUGAUGGCACAGUGCUACAAAAAUUAAAUAUGAAAAAGUAGUCACCGGAAUGAUGGCACGGUGCUACACAAAUUAGAUAUAACAAAGUAGUCACCGGAAUGAUGGCACGGUGCUACACAAAUUAGAUAUAACAAAGUAGUCACCGGAAUGAUGGCACGGUGCUACACAAAUUAGAUAUAACAAAGUAGUCACCGGAAUGAUGGCACGGUGCUACACAAAUUAGAUAUAACAAAGUAGUCACCGGAAUGAUGACACGGUGCUACACAAAUUAGAUAUGAGAUAAUAGUCACCAGAAAGAUACAUGGUAACCCAACUUUUGCUAACAUAAUCAUUGGCUAGACGAGCAGCAUAUAUGGGUGCCACCCACCGGCAGUGGAAGUUCGGAGAAUGAUGGCACGGUGCUUACAUAAAUUAAAUAUGAGAAAAUAGUCACCGGAAAGAUACACGGUGACCCAUCUUUUGCCAACAUAAUUGUUGGCCAGACGGGCAACAUAUAUGGGUAAUGGCCACCCGCUAGCAGCGGAAGCUCUUUGAUUUUCUACCAAGAUCGUAGAGACUCUGAUACCAUGUGAGAAAUAUAGGAAAAGAAUAUUAUUGAAUUGUUAUUGUAUCUACAUUAUUACAUUGAGACCCUAUUUAUAGACACUAGAAUAUAAUCCUUUACCAAGUAGGAUACUAUUUACUAUUCAUAUUCCUAUUUGUAUUCAUAUUCCUAUUCUAAAUAGGAUUGUAUAAACCUAUUCCUAUUCUAAUAAGAUUGUGUAAACCAAUUCCUAUUCUAAUAGGAUUGUAUAAACCUAUUCAUAUUCUAACAGAUACCAUACAUGAGGGGAGGACUAUA